CGCCCCUUCCCGUGGUGCAGCGCGGCCGGCGGCGGCAGUAGCCGCCGCGACUCCAUCCGGGUCCCGCGGUGCUCCGGGUCACCCUGCGGCAGACUAACUUGAAGGCCCGGAAGUGCCGCCCCCGGGCGCUCCUGAGUGGUCGGUUACGCUCGCCGCCCGCCGGGGAUAGGCCGCGGAUGCCGUCAGCGGCUGGCUCUGUUUUCAAGAUGUCUUUGCUAAGAAGGGGACUGUAAGUCACAUCUGUCUGGCAAGUAUUUAGAUUUCAAUAUAUUAUUAUUUU
RNAcentral lists this long non-coding RNA (280 nucleotides) under Dromaius novaehollandiae (emu). RNAcentral's name for it is "lncRNA (ENSDNVG00000003159.1)". Lineage: Eukaryota; Metazoa; Chordata; Aves; Casuariiformes; Dromaiidae. The record is from RNAcentral.